GAUGAACGCUGGCGGCGUGCUUAACACAUGCAAGUCGAACGGAAAGGCCCAAGCUUGCUUGGGUGCUCGAGUGGCGAACGGGUGAGUAACACGUGGGUGAUCUGCCCUGCACUUUGGGAUAAGCCUGGGAAACUGGGUCUAAUACCGGAUAGGACCAUCGUUUAGUGUCGGUGGUGGAAAGUUUUUCGGUGUGGGAUGAGCUCGCGGCCUAUCAGCUUGUUGGUGGGGUAAUGGCCUACCAAGGCGUCGACGGGUAGCCGGCCUGAGAGGGUGUACGGCCACAUUGGGACUGAGAUACGGCCCAGACACCUACGGGAGGCAGCAGUGGGGAAUAUUGCACAAUGGGCGCAAGCCUGAUGCAGCGACGCCGCGUGGGGGAUGACGGCCUUCGGGUUGUAAACUCCUUGCGCCAAGGACGAAGCGUUUUGUGACGGUACUUGGAGAAGAAGCACCGGCUAACUACGUG
RNAcentral lists this ribosomal RNA (466 nucleotides) under uncultured bacterium. RNAcentral describes it as "partial 16S ribosomal RNA". It matches the Rfam family "Bacterial small subunit ribosomal RNA", at positions 28 to 507 of the family's 1533-position model. The record is from RNAcentral.